RNAcentral lists this ribosomal RNA (250 nucleotides) under uncultured bacterium. Its description in RNAcentral is "partial 16S ribosomal RNA". It matches the Rfam family "Bacterial small subunit ribosomal RNA", at positions 793 to 1055 of the family's 1533-position model. The record is from RNAcentral.
GUCCACGCCGUAAACGAUGGAUACUAGCUGUUGGGUGCAAACUCAGUGGCUAAGCGAAAGUGAUAAGUAUCCCACCUGGGGAGUACGUUCGCAAGAAUGAACUCAAAGGAUUGACGGGGCCCGCACAAGCGGUGGAGCAUGUGGUUAAUUCGAUGAUACGCGAGGAACCUUACCAAGGCUUAAAUGUAGUUUGACAGAUUUGGAAACAGAUUUUCUUCGGACAAAUUACAAGGUGCUGCAUGGUUGUCGU